GGAAGGAUCAUUAACACGUAUCCACGUAUCAACCACGUUGAACUGUACACUGCGUUGUAUGCAAAGAACGAAAGGCUAGGUGGUAAGGAGCGUUUAUUCGCUCUCGUCUCCGUUUUGCUGAUUUCUUCUUUGGGGCAACUCAAAGGGGCGGAUCGUGCUGCAGCGCAGUGAUUGCCACAAAUUGUUUAACCACUAUGAACUUAUGUACUAAUAUCAAAUCUUACAGGGUCCUUCUUGCUCACGCGAGAGCCCCUUAAGUAUUUUACGAAAAUUUUGAACAACUCUUAGCAACGGAUAUCUUGGUUUCCGCACCGAUGAAGAACGCAGCGAAAUGCGAUACGUAAUGCGAAUUGCAGAAUUCAGUGAAUCAUCAAAUUUUUGAACGCAACUGGCGCUUUCGGGAUAGCCCUGAAAGCACGUUUCUCUGAGUAUCGGUUCUACCUCAUCUCGACUGCGUCCGCGCAGUUCGGUCAUUGAAUGUCACGAAGACCCGAAACUCUUGUCGUGUCAUUUUAAGUUGUGUGUCAAUGCUCACUCGAGUUUGUCAUUGCCUUCGGGCAACUGUGUGAACCAGCCUUGGUCCACCUGACAACCGGUGACGUGGGAUAAUUUCACCUUCGUGUGAAUACAAACUUUCUCCGUCGCGUCCGGUAUCAGGUUUGAGUUUCGAAGCUCUUCACAUGGUAAAGCAGACUUUAUAGUGGCAUUGUCUUUUUCAUUAACAAAAGGAGCUCACAAGGCUUCUGGCGUUAUGUCAUAUUUUCUCAGAAUUAGAUCUCAGAUGAAGCGAGAGGACCCGCUAAAUUUAAGCAUAUUAUUAAGCGGAGGAAAAGAAACUAACAAGGAUUCCCCUAGUAACGGCGAGUGAAGCGGGAGAAGCUCAAAUUGAAAAUCGGGAACCCUAAUAGGCUUCCGAAUUGUAGUCUAGAGAUGCUCUGCCAGCGAUCGACCGAGGUAUAAAUUUUUUUGGAACAAGGUAUCAUAGAGGGUGAGAAUCCCGUCUGUGACCUCGAGUUCGUCGCGUACGGCAAGUAUUCAAUGAGUCGAAUAGCUUGGGAUUGCUGUUCUAAAUUGGUGGUAAAUUUCAUCAAAAGCUAAAUAUUGGCGGAAGACCGAUAGCGAACAAGUACCGUGAGGGAAAGAUGAAAAGAACUUUGAAAAGAGAGUUAAAAAGUACUUGAAAUUGUUAAGAGGGAAGCACUGGAAACCAGUAGCUGCCGAGUUUCUAUAUUUACUAUCCAGCUGCGAAGGGCCUGGAGCACGGGAGGGCAACCCUCGGGCUUUAGGUCGGACGUAGAUGGGUGGGUCCUGUAGAGCUUGGCGAGUCAGAAUCAAGUAGAUCCGCGGGAGAAAAUCGGUGGUAAGGUCACCCCUACUUCGGGAAGGGUAGAGACCGCCGACGAUACCGUGAGUUUGCUUGAGGUGGUGAGAACAGGCGCCGUUCGCGGCUCUGUCCGCCGAUCCCUGGUAUGUGGUUUGUCUUGGAUAACAAAGUUAUGCGGAUAGAGAAGCGUACCAUUGGGUUGGACUGGAUAAGAUGUCUGUUAGCGAUUCUGACGAAAUGGUUUUCAUUGACCCGUCUUGAAACACGGACCAAGGAGUCUAACAUAUAUGCGAGUAUUUGGGUGGUAAACCCUGAUGCGUAAUGAAAGUAAAGGCAGCUUCUGUUGCUUAGGUAGGAAUUUGGGCUUCGGCCUGAAGGCACUAUCGACCGAUCGUUCACUUGUGAAAGAUUUGAGUAAGAGCAUAUCUGUUGGGACCCGAAAGAUGGUGAUCUAUGCCUGAACAGGGUGAAGCCAGGGGAAACUCUGGUGGAGGCUCGUAGCGAUACUGACGUGCAAAUCGUUCGUCUGAUUUGGGUAUAGGGGCGAAAGACUAAUCGAACUAUCUAGUUGCUGGUUCCCGC
Molecule: unclassified non-coding RNA, 1906 nt
Filed under: uncultured fungus
Lineage: Eukaryota; Fungi
Description: sequence contains 18S rRNA gene, ITS1, 5.8S rRNA gene, ITS2, 28S rRNA gene
Rfam family: Eukaryotic large subunit ribosomal RNA (bases 773-1906)
Source: RNAcentral